AGUCACUGCUAUUGGGGUUCGGCUAAGCCAUGCGAGCGGAGGGCGCGGUCGCAAGAUCGUGGCCCCGCACACGGCUCAGUAACACGUAGUCAACCUACCCUUGGGACGGGGACAACGCCGGGAAACUGGCGAUAAUCCCCGAUAGGUGAGGGACGCUGGGAUGCUUCUUCGCUCAAAGCUCCGGCGCCCGAGGAUGGGACUGCGGCCUAUCAGGCUGUUGGUGGUGUGACGGACCACCAAACCUACGACGGGUACGGGCGAUGGGAGUCGGAGCCUGGAGAUGGGGACUGAGACAAGGCCCCAGGCCCUACGGGGCGCAGCAGGCGCGAAAACUCCGCAAUGCGCGCAGGCGUGACGGGGGAACCCCAAGUGCCGUUGGUCUUUUGAUCGACGGCUUUUCGGAAGUCCAAUAAGCUUCCGGAAUAAGGGCUGGGCAAGACUGGUGCCAGCCGCCGCGGUAACACCAGCAGCCCAAGUGGUGGCCGCGAUUAUUGGGCCUAAAGCGCUCGUAGCCGGAUCAGCAAGUCCUUUGUGAAAUCGGGCCGCCCAACGGUUCGGCGUGCAAAGGAUACUGUUGGUCUUGAGACCGGGAGAGGUCGGAGGUACUCUUGGGGUAGCGGUGAAAUGCUGUAAUCCUGGGGGGACCACCAGUGGCGAAGGCGUCCGACCAGAACGGAUCUGACGGUGAGGGGCGAAGGCUAGGGGAGCGAACGGGAUUAGAUACCCCGGUAGUCCUAGCUGUAAAGCAUGCGGGCCAGGUGUCUAGCGCUCCUUGAGGGCGCUAUGUGCCGGAGGGAAGCCGUUAAGCCCGCCGCCUGGGAAGUACGGCCGCAAGGCUGAAACUUAAAGAAAUUGGCGGGGGAGCACCACAAGGGGUGGAACCUGCGGUUC
This 891-nucleotide ribosomal RNA is filed under the name uncultured archaeon. Its description in RNAcentral is "bacterial SSU rRNA". It matches the Rfam family "Archaeal small subunit ribosomal RNA", at positions 21 to 903 of the family's 1478-position model. The record is from RNAcentral.